This 253-nucleotide ribosomal RNA is filed under the name uncultured bacterium. RNAcentral describes it as "partial 16S ribosomal RNA". It matches the Rfam family "Bacterial small subunit ribosomal RNA", at positions 524 to 776 of the family's 1533-position model. The record is from RNAcentral.
UACAGAGGGUGCGAGCGUUAAUCGGAGUGACUGGGCGUAAAGGGCGCGUAGGCGGUUAGAUUAGUCUGAUGUGAAAGCCCUGGGCUUAACCUGGGAUGUGCAUUGGAGACGGUCUGGCUAGAGUUUGAGAGAGGGAAGUGGAAUUUCCGGUGUAGCGGUGAAAUGCGUAGAGAUCGGAAAGAACACUCGUGGCGAAGGCGACUUUCUGGCUCAAAACUGACGCUGAGGCGCGAAAGCGUGGGGAGCAAACAGG